This 691-nucleotide ribosomal RNA is filed under the name uncultured Streptococcaceae bacterium. Its description in RNAcentral is "bacterial SSU rRNA". It matches the Rfam family "Bacterial small subunit ribosomal RNA", at positions 59 to 733 of the family's 1533-position model. Lineage: Bacteria; Bacillati; Bacillota; Bacilli; Lactobacillales; Streptococcaceae. The record is from RNAcentral.
AAGUAGAACGCUGAAGAGAGGAGCUUGCUCUUCUUGGAUGAGUUGCGAACGGGUGAGUAACGCGUAGGUAACCUGCCUGGUAGCGGGGGAUAACUAUUGGAAACGAUAGCUAAUACCGCAUAAAAUUGAUUAUUGCAUGAUAAUUAAUUGAAAGAUGCAAUUGCAUCACUACCAGAUGGACCUGCGUUGUAUUAGCUAGUUGGUGAGGUAACGGCUCACCAAGGCGACGAUACAUAGCCGACCUGAGAGGGUGAUCGGCCACACUGGGACUGAGACACGGCCCAGACUCCUACGGGAGGCAGCAGUAGGGAAUCUUCGGCAAUGGGGGGAACCCUGACCGAGCAACGCCGCGUGAGUGAAGAAGGUUUUCGGAUCGUAAAGCUCUGUUGUAAGAGAAGAACGGGUGUGAGAGUGGAAAGUUCACACUGUGACGGUAUCUUACCAGAAAGGGACGGCUAACUACGUGCCAGCAGCCGCGGUAAUACGUAGGUCCCGAGCGUUGUCCGGAUUUAUUGGGCGUAAAGCGAGCGCAGGCGGUUAGAUAAGUCUGAAGUUAAAGGCUGUGGCUUAACCAUAGUAUGCUUUGGAAACUGUUUAACUUGAGUGCAGAAGGGGAGAGUGGAAUUCCAUGUGUAGCGGUGAAAUGCGUAGAUAUAUGGAGGAACACCGGUGGCGAAAGCGGCUCUCUGGU